AUCCUUUCGCAGAGGCAAUAUCAUAGCUUAUGAGGUUUAUCCAAGAUGCGAUCAUUGCGGGUUGAAAAUUUUACCCAACGCCCUGCUUGGAUGACUUGGGGGGGAGUCAGCCAUGGCAGUUUUUGAUGGUCUCUGAUGAGA
Neoarius graeffei (lesser salmon catfish) is the source of this 141-nucleotide small nuclear RNA. RefSeq annotates it as U4 spliceosomal RNA. The record is from RefSeq and is a predicted model, not a curated record. The transcript has a single exon. Lineage: Eukaryota; Metazoa; Chordata; Actinopteri; Siluriformes; Ariidae.